Molecule: ribosomal RNA, 1263 nt
Filed under: Triticum aestivum (bread wheat)
Lineage: Eukaryota; Viridiplantae; Streptophyta; Magnoliopsida; Poales; Poaceae
Description: partial small subunit ribosomal RNA
Source: RNAcentral
AUGAAAGAAGGAGACAUGGAGAAAACUGCUUUUAGCACACACAUUGGUUUGUUUGAGUUCUUGGUAAUGCCUUUUGGAGUGACAAAUGGCCCUCCCACCUUUACAGAACUCAUGCACACUGUAUUGGGGCCAUUACUGAGACACUAUGUGCUAGUUUUCUUUGAUGAUAUCCUCAUUUUUAGCAAGACAUACAAGGAACACUUGGAACAUGUAGCCCUAGUAUUGGAAGAACUCAGGAAACAUCAGCUAUAUGCAAAGCUCUCUAAGUGCACCUUUGCACAAAACAAAGUGGAGUAUUUGGGCUAUGUGGUUACUGACAAGGGAGUCUCCACAGAUCCUGCAAAAAUAGAAGCCAUAGUAAACUGGCCCACACCUCAGAAUGUGACACACUUGAGGAGUUUCUUGGGAUUAGCUGGAUACUACAGGAGGUUUGUUCAGAAUUAUGCACUGAUUUGCAAGCCAUUGUUUGAUGCAUUGAAAAAGGAAGGAUUUCAAUGGACUGACAGACAAAUGACCACUUUUCCUGAUUUCUUCCCAACAACUAAAGGAGCAGUGUUAAUGCAAAAGGGACAGCCCAUUGCAUAUAUGAGCAAAGCUCUAGGCCCUAAAGCUGCUGGCUGGUCCACAUAUGACAAAGAGGCACUGGCAAUCAAUGAAGCACUUAAGAAAUGGAAACACUACUUUGCUUCAUCCUCUCUGAUUAUCAGAAUUGACCAGCAGAGUUUGAAAUACAUACAGGAGCAAAAAGUAACUGAAGGGGUUCAACACAAACUCCUCAUUAAACUCAUGGGGUACAAUUUCACAGUGGAAUACAAGAAAGGCAAGGAAAACAGAGUAGCUGGUGCUCUCUCCAGAGUUAAAUAUGCUCUAAAUGCCCUGGGAUCUAGCACUGCAAUUCCCUCUUGGAUUUCUGAAGUGGUGAAUAGUUACAAAGGAGACACUAAAUGUUCUAACUUAAUUGCUAAACUUGCAAUAGAUCCAACUGGCCAACCUCCCUAUACUCUCACUAGUGGAGUGCUUGGGUAUAAGGGAAAAAUCAUGAUUGGCAACAACAGUGAACUGGAAAAUUCCUUGCUCACUUCUUUUCACAAGUUUGAAUUAGGAGGACACUCUUGGGAAAGAGCAACUUAUCACAGAUUGAAAAUCCUUUUUACUUGGCCUGGAAUGAGGAAGGCAGUGCAAACCUUUGUUCAGCAGUGCCCUGUCUGUCAAUUGAACAAGGCACAACAUGUGCACCCCCUAGCCUGUUACAACCCCUCCUAG